RNAcentral lists this ribosomal RNA (653 nucleotides) under Escherichia coli. RNAcentral's name for it is "partial 23S ribosomal RNA". It matches the Rfam family "Bacterial large subunit ribosomal RNA", at positions 2259 to 2906 of the family's 2925-position model. The record is from RNAcentral. Lineage: Bacteria; Pseudomonadati; Pseudomonadota; Gammaproteobacteria; Enterobacterales; Enterobacteriaceae.
UGGUGGGUAGUUUGACUGGGGCGGUCUCCUCCUAAAGAGUAACGGAGGAGCACGAAGGUUGGCUAAUCCUGGUCGGACAUCAGGAGGUUAGUGCAAUGGCAUAAGCCAGCUUGACUGCGAGCGUGACGGCGCGAGCAGGUGCGAAAGCAGGUCAUAGUGAUCCGGUGGUUCUGAAUGGAAGGGCCAUCGCUCAACGGAUAAAAGGUACUCCGGGGAUAACAGGCUGAUACCGCCCAAGAGUUCAUAUCGACGGCGGUGUUUGGCACCUCGAUGUCGGCUCAUCACAUCCUGGGGCUGAAGUAGGUCCCAAGGGUAUGGCUGUUCGCCAUUUAAAGUGGUACGCGAGCUGGGUUUAGAACGUCGUGAGACAGUUCGGUCCCUAUCUGCCGUGGGCGCUGGAGAACUGAGGGGGGCUGCUCCUAGUACGAGAGGACCGGAGUGGACGCAUCACUGGUGUUCGGGUUGUCAUGCCAAUGGCACUGCCCGGUAGCUAAAUGCGGAAGAGAUAAGUGCUGAAAGCAUCUAAGCACGAAACUUGCCCCGAGAUGAGUUCUCCCUGACCCUUUAAGGGUCCUGAAGGAACGUUGAAGACGACGACGUUGAUAGGCCGGGUGUGUAAGCGCAGCGAUGCGUUGAGCUAACCGGUACUAAUG